AGAUGCUAAUGAGAUGACACGCGCGGAUACGCAACGUGAGCUGGAUGAAAUAGUCCUUGCGCGACCCUUCUUUCUUUGCUCUACUGUGAUGGGUGGAUGUGUGUUGGAACCAUGAAGUCUUAUUUGAAUGGCUGGAGGUUUCAUGUUUGCAGUAGAUGCAGACUCCCGUGCUUGCUGUCUUGAUCCUGUCCAAUGCCCAAGAUGUCAGGGAGGACCAGAGGCUGAUGCUGGACCUGAGGGUACACUUUUCCUGCCACUACUAGUGGUGGUGAGCUAACGGAGGAGCGGCGCUGAAGGAGGAGCCUGGAGAAGGUCCCUCCGGACCCUGUUAUGAGUAUCCACUAAUGGAGCUGGUGACCACUAGGAUCUGAUGGGAGGACUGCGCUGGACCUGUAACAUCUUGGAGACGCUGUGGAGAUCCUGAGUUUGGUUUGGGGGAGACGUCCUUGAGCCGGGGCCUCCCUGUAUCCUGACGUCCUUCUUGCCAGUCUCCUCACAGGAUUCAUCUGAUCAUCCUGGAGGUUCUUCAGAAGGACCAACGAGUGAAGAGCCAGCUGGAGUCAUCGUUGGACUGCAGAAUCAUCUCUUCCAUGCACACACACCUGUCUGUGUGUGGAGGACACCACCUCUUCCAAUCUAUUCUCUCUCCUCCACCUGUCUGUGUGUGGAGGACACCACCUCUUCCAAUCUAUUCUCUCUCCUCCACCUGUCUGUGUGUGGAGGACACCACCUCUUCCAAUCUAUUCUCUCUCCUCCACCUGUCUGUGUGUGGAGGACACCACCUCUUCCAAUCUAUUCUCUCUCCUCCACCUGUCUGUGUGUGGAGGACACCACCUCUUCCAAUCUAUUCUCUCUCCUCCACCUGUCUGUGUGUGGAGGACACCACCUCUUCCAAUCUAUUCUCUCUCCUCCACCUGUCUGUGUGUGGAGGACACCACCUCUUCCAAUCUAUUCUCUCUCCUCCACCUGUCUGUGUGUGGAGGACACCACCUCUUCCAAUCUUGGGGGUCAGAGUUCAAAGUUAGGGCUUAGGGUUUAGUUUGAGGGCUUGAGCUGGUCAGGUAGGGCUGCUUUCACCACUAACUUCUUCACUUGCUUUAAAAAUUGUUUGGACGGCCGUCCCAAAAUGUGCACUUCAUUUUUUUUUUAACAAAUUGUACGAAAUGAAAUGUAUGAUUGCUUUUUAAAAUGCAUAUUUGUGUUUUUAAAAUAAAAACAGCC
Gadus chalcogrammus (walleye pollock) is the source of this 1221-nucleotide long non-coding RNA. RefSeq lists it as uncharacterized. The record is from RefSeq and is a predicted model, not a curated record. The transcript has 5 exons. NCBI's taxonomy places the organism in Eukaryota, Metazoa, Chordata, Actinopteri, Gadiformes, Gadidae.